GACGAACGCUGGCGGCGUGCUUAACACAUGCAAGUCGAACGGAGAGGCCCUGCUUUUGUGGGGUGCUCGAGUGGCGAACGGGUGAGUAACACGUGAGUAACCUGCCCUUGACUUUGGGAUAACUUCAGGAAACUGGGGCUAAUACCGGAUAGGAGCUCCUGCUGCAUGGUGGGGGUUGGAAAGUUUCGGCGGUUGGGGAUGGACUCGCGGCUUAUCAGCUUGUUGGUGGGGUAGUGGCUUACCAAGGCUUUGACGGGUAGCCGGCCUGAGAGGGUGACCGGCCACAUUGGGACUGAGAUACGGCCCAGACUCCUACGGGAGGCAGCAGUGGGGAAUAUUGCACAAUGGGCGGAAGCCUGAUGCAGCGACGCCGCGUGCGGGAUGACGGCCUUCGGGUUGUAAACCGCUUUCGCCUGUGACGAAGCGUGAGUGACGGUAAUGGGUAAAGAAGCACCGGCUAACUACGUGCCAGCAGCCGCGGUGAUACGUAGGGUGCGAGCGUUGUCCGGAUUUAUUGGGCGUAAAGGGCUCGUAGGUGGUUGAUCGCGUCGGAAGUGUAAUCUUGGGGCUUAACCCUGAGCGUGCUUUCGAUACGGGUUGACUUGAGGAAGGUAGGGGAGAAUGGAAUUCCUGGUGGAGCGGUGGAAUGCGCAGAUAUCAGGAGGAACACCAGUGGCGAAGGCGGUUCUCUGGGCCUUUCCUGACGCUGAGGAGCGAAAGCGUGGGGAGCGAACAGGCUUAGAUACCCUGGUAGUCCACGCUGUAAACGGUGGGUACUAGGUGUGGGGUCCAUUCCACGGGUUCCGUGCCGUAGCUAACGCUUUAAGUACCCCGCCUGGGGAGUACGGCCGCAAGGCUAAAACUCAAAGGAAUUGACGGGGCCCCGCACAAGCGGCGGAGCAUGCGGAUUAAUUCGAUGCAACGCGUAGAACCUUACCUGGGUUUGACAUGGAUCGGGAGUGCUCAGAGAUGGGUGUGCCUCUUUUGGGGUCGGUUCACAGGUGGUGCAUGGCUGUCGUCAGCUCGUGUCGUGAGAUGUUGGGUUAAGUCCCGCAACGAGCGCAACCCUUGUUCACUGUUGCCAGCACGUUAUGGUGGGGACUCAGUGGAGACCGCCGGGGUCAACUCGGAGGAAGGUGGGGAUGACGUCAAGUCAUCAUGCCCCUUAUGUCCAGGGCUUCACGCAUGCUACAAUGGCUGGUACAGAGAGUGGCGAGCCUGUGAGGGUGAGCGAAUCUCGGAAAGCCGGUCUCAGUUCGGAUUGGGGUCUGCAACUCGACCUCUUGAAGUCGGAGUCGCUAGUAAUCGCAGAUCAGCAACGCUGCGGUGAAUACGUUCCCGGGGCU
RNAcentral lists this ribosomal RNA (1346 nucleotides) under uncultured bacterium. RNAcentral describes it as "partial 16S ribosomal RNA". It matches the Rfam family "Bacterial small subunit ribosomal RNA", at positions 28 to 1381 of the family's 1533-position model. The record is from RNAcentral.